GACUACUGGGGUAUCUAAUCCUGUUUGCUCCCCACGCUUUCGCACCUGAGCGUCAGUAUUGGUCCAGGAGGCCGCCUUCGCCACUGAUGUUCCUUCUGAUAUCUACGCAUUUCACUGCUACACCAGAAAUUCCGCCUCCCUCUCCCAUACUCUAGCAAGUCAGUUUCGGAUGCAGUUCCCAGGUUGAGCCCGGGGAUUUCACACCCGACUUGACAAGCCGACUACGUGCGCUUUACGCCCAGUAAUUCCGAUUAACGCUCGCACCCUCUGUAUUACCGCGGCUGCUGGCACAGAGUUAGCCGGUGCUUCUUAUGUAGGUUAAGUCAACCUCUUGCAUUAUUAGAGCAAGAGCUUUCGUCCCUACCGAAAGGGCUUUACAACCCGCAGGCCUUCUUCACCCACGCGGCGUCGCUGGAUCAGGGUUUCCCCCAUUGUCCAAUAUUCCCCACUGCAGCCACCCGUAGG
RNAcentral lists this ribosomal RNA (465 nucleotides) under uncultured Steroidobacter sp. Its description in RNAcentral is "partial 16S ribosomal RNA". The record is from RNAcentral. Lineage: Bacteria; Pseudomonadati; Pseudomonadota; Gammaproteobacteria; Steroidobacterales; Steroidobacteraceae.